RNAcentral lists this ribosomal RNA (618 nucleotides) under uncultured bacterium. RNAcentral describes it as "bacterial SSU rRNA". It matches the Rfam family "Bacterial small subunit ribosomal RNA", at positions 340 to 953 of the family's 1533-position model. The record is from RNAcentral.
UACGGGAGGCAGCAGUGGGGAAUUUUGGACAAUGGGCGAAAGCCUGAUCCAGCAAUGCCGCGUGAGUGAAGAAGGCCUUCGGGUUGUAAAGCUCUUUUGUCAGGGAAGAAACGGUGAGAGCUAAUAUCUCUUGCUAAUGACGGUACCUGAAGAAUAAGCACCGGCUAACUACGUGCCAGCAGCCGCGGUAAUACGUAGGGUGCAAGCGUUAAUCGGAAUUACUGGGCGUAAAGCGUGCGCAGGCGGUUUUGUAAGUCUGAUGUGAAAUCCCCGGGCUCAACCUGGGAAUUGCAUUGGAGACUGCAAGGCUAGAAUCUGGCAGAGGGGGGUAGAAUUCCACGUGUAGCAGUGAAAUGCGUAGAUAUGUGGAGGAACACCGAUGGCGAAGGCAGCCCCCUGGGUCAAGAUUGACGCUCAUGCACGAAAGCGUGGGGAGCAAACAGGAUUAGAUACCCUGGUAGUCCACGCCCUAAACGAUGUCUACUAGUUGUCGGGUCUUAAUUGACUUGGUAACGCAGCUAACGCGUGAAGUAGACCGCCUGGGGAGUCGGUCGCAAGNUUAAAACGUCAAAAGUAUAGUCGCGNGNGAGAGCGACGACGACGACGAGGAGGGAGGAG